RNAcentral lists this unclassified non-coding RNA (240 nucleotides) under soil metagenome. RNAcentral's name for it is "partial contains 5.8S ribosomal RNA, internal transcribed spacer 2, and large subunit ribosomal RNA". The record is from RNAcentral.
AACGCACGAGACCUGCGGACCUGCGGAAGGAUCAUUACAGGACUCGCAAGACUCCUACAACCCUGUGAACUUAACUAUAAGCACGUUGCUUCGGCGGGUGUCUCGGCGAGGGUUCUCCCUCCCCGGGGCGCUAAGCCCGCCGGCAGCCUACUAUACUCUGUCUCUUUGCGUUGGCAUCUCGAGUACAAACAAACAAGUUAAAACUUUCAGCAACGGAUCUCUAGAUCGGAAGAGCACACG